GGUCGACAAUUCACAGGAGCCAAAAGGGGUUCUUCUCAUGAACCCUAAACUACAAGGAAUUGCUCAAAUCAAAGGAGAAAUCAAGCUAAAAUUUGGGGCUUUUAAUAAAAUCGUGAUCACCAAGCUUAGGGGAUCACAAGUUUGGCGCUUAACAAGCUAGGUGGAAGCUUGUGAAUGAAGCGGGUCAAACGGAGCAAGAACGGAAAGGAAAAGCAUAGUUCGGAUGUGAGGUUUCAGCAACAUUCCCGCUGGAAAAACUUCUCCCCCGCGCCACGCGACGGAGGAGUGUAUUUCUGUCGCGACACGCGACAGGUGCUCGCGGACCGCGUAAGAAAAGGGGCUCUCGGUCGCGCCCCGUGAGAGACCCAAAAAGCUGCAAAAAAAAUUGUUUUUCUUGUAUAUCCAUGGAUACCGGACGACGUUCAAGCUCAUAGAGGAACCGAACACGAUCAAGAUUCAAGCUUCCGCACAUCGUUUCGUUGUUACUUUUAAACGACGAACUUAAUUACAUUAAGUUGUAAACUUUUAAUUUGUAAACGUUUUAAGUUAACCUUUAUUUUUCAGCAUAUAUGUAAUCAUAUUUGCGUGUU
Long non-coding RNA from Helianthus annuus (common sunflower), 590 nucleotides. RefSeq lists it as uncharacterized. The transcript is spliced from 4 exons. The record is from RefSeq and is a predicted model, not a curated record. NCBI's taxonomy places the organism in Eukaryota, Viridiplantae, Streptophyta, Magnoliopsida, Asterales, Asteraceae.